GAGGGUAUAGCUCAAUGGUAGAGUGUGGGCUUAGCAUGCACAAAAUCCUGGGUUCAAUAUCUAGUACCUCCA
This 72-nucleotide transfer RNA is filed under the name Camelus bactrianus (Bactrian camel). It matches the Rfam family "tRNA". Rfam says of the family: Transfer RNA (tRNA) molecules are approximately 80 nucleotides in length. Their secondary structure includes four short double-helical elements and three loops (D, anti-codon, and T loops). RNAcentral also lists the same sequence under 2 other names. The record is from Rfam by way of RNAcentral. Lineage: Eukaryota; Metazoa; Chordata; Mammalia; Artiodactyla; Camelidae.